Molecule: long non-coding RNA, 1842 nt
Filed under: Nicotiana tabacum (common tobacco)
Lineage: Eukaryota; Viridiplantae; Streptophyta; Magnoliopsida; Solanales; Solanaceae
Description: long non-coding RNA (NTAB_LNC001780)
Source: RNAcentral
AAAUACUGUAUCACUAAAUCAUUUUUCUUAAAACAUGAAUACAUAUGAGCCGUCAAGGUCUCUGCCAUACUGAAUAAAAUGAACCUCUGUCUACAAAGCCUCUAAGAUUAUUUGACAUCAAAUGAGACAGUGUAUCGGCCUACCCAUAAGUAUUUAGCAAAACUCUAACACGAUAACUCAUAGUCUCGGCUGUACUCCAAAUGAGGUAGAGUCUUACCGAUCCUUUGCUGAAUGUCAAUCUCGUCUACUAUGAGAGCUCAUCAAACUGAUUAUCUACACCUGCAGGCAUGAAUGCAGCGUCCCUAACAAAAGGACGUUAAUACGAAUAAUGUACUGAGUAUGUAAGGUAGAACUGAAACAUAACCAUAAUUCAACAUUAAUUAAAGACAUAUAAGAAUCAACCUGAAUCUCUGAAGUGCCACCGUAUAUGCGUACUCAUUAUACUUAUAUAUAUAUAUAUAUAUAUAAUGCUUCUCUUUGAGACUAUUAUAAGUAUCGUAUGAUGCAUGACUGCCCAACUGAUCAGUGGUAACUGCCCGACCGACCGUAGCUCGGUGGUAAAAGCAUAACUGCCCAACCGGUGGUAACUGUCCGACCGGCCGUAGCUAGGUGGUAGAUGUGUAACUGCCCAACCGGUCGUAGUACGGUGGUAAAUAUGUAACUGCCCAACCGGCCGUAGCACGGUGGUAAAUGUAUGACUGCCAUACUUCGUUAGGAAAUACAGUUGUAAUUUAGGCUACUGACUAUAAAAGGAACCAAAUGAAACGAAAACCAUUUUUUAGUGGAAGCCUUCUGCUCGGAGUAAUAUCCAUGAAAUGAAAAUUAUAUCUAUGGAAACACUCCAAAAAUGAAGCACCAAAUCUGUGUAAUUAGUACACAACCAAACUGAGCUACAAUUUCCUCUCACCCACUUAGUUAAGUAAGCUGCAAAUAAGUAUGAAUAUGGCCCGAGCAUCUUAAUAUCUUAUUACAUCAAAUCUGUCUCCGUCCUUUUCGUGCUUUCUCUAUAUCAUUAAAGGUAUUAAAAUUAAGGAUUAAAUUGGAACAAGAUCGUUCCCAGAACACGUAGAGGGGCUAGAAUGUGAUCUUAACAAAUCUCAGAAAAGUCAUGAACACAGGAUGCCAACUAUUACAUGUAAUUAAUAUCCUUAAAUUGAUAUGCAUGAUCUUUGGGGAAUGAAUAACAUAGACAUCCUUAACUUCUAAGAGUAGAACCACUUAUGGAAUAUCAUUACAUUUACGUCUCGUUACUGGGAUCAUGCCAAAAGAAAGAAGGAAUAACCUUAACAUACCUGAGUCGAUUCUCUUGAGAAAGAUUACACCGUACUCCCUUAAUAUUGUAAAAUCUCACGUUAAUUAAGGUGCUCUGAAAUCUCGGGUUUUUGAAGUGUUGAAGACACUAUCAUAUUUGUAUACAUGGGUUGGAUGAAGAAGGAGAAGAGCGCAAAGUAGUGUCAACUAUGCGUUCAAAAUAUUACUGCUCUUGCCAAACAUAAGUAGAUUAUAACUACUGUAUAGAAUAAAGGCACAUCUGAAAGGAAGAAAAGACACAUGACCUCAUCAAAAGCUUAAAGAAAGGCCUCAAAUAGCUUACCUUUUGAAUAAGGCAAAGCUCCAAGAAAAAAUUACUGUGUGAUGCUUUAUGGUCCAGCACAAAAACUACACUUCCAAGAAUAUUGAUUAGAAAAUAAUAAUGUUUGUAGGAAUCGGUGGUAAGAAAUUGUGUUGAAAAUUUAUAAGGAUUGCUAAGAUUGUAAUGUCUUGAGAAGGAAAUUUGUUGAAACUUAUCAGAAUGGCUAACGUCCCCCACUUUUCAUUGUAGUGUCUUUGAUAUGGAAAUUA